This 2498-nucleotide long non-coding RNA is filed under the name Homo sapiens (human). RNAcentral's name for it is "non-protein coding lnc-ZNF704-7:11". The stretch from base 1272 to 1366 matches the Rfam family "Y RNA". The record is from RNAcentral. Lineage: Eukaryota; Metazoa; Chordata; Mammalia; Primates; Hominidae.
ACGCGUCCGCUGCCGCUGCCGCUGCCGGGCCGACGCCUCCGACCGCUCUCUCGUCCUCCACCCCCGCCCCGCCGCGCUCCGGGCAGCGUCCCGCGCGGAGAAGGGGGCGGGCGGCGGAGAGGUGAGGAGCGAGCCUGCAGCGAGCGAGGCCUUCGAAGUUGAGCAGCGGAGUGCGGGGAGACCCUCCGCUGCCCCCUCUUUAAAGCCGCGCGCGCACACACCGAUCCUCCACACAGCAGGCGGUGCCUUUCACGCGAAGAGGUUACGACCACGGACACAACCUCCUUUGAUGCAUUGUGCGAGGCAGCACCUCGGGCCCCGGACAGUAGUCAUUUCACAGAAAAUGCACCGCCCCGAGUGUCUUAUUGCUGUGAUGAAAUGGAAAUUUAAAUAAAAGGUCGAACACGUGCGUUCACUGGGAAGUAUUGACAUGGGUGUUACAUCACCAGCAGCCAAUCAGAUAACUCCAGUCGUGUUUAUACUUCUACAACCACCUUGUGAGUAUUACAGUAUGUCAUAACGUUAUAAAUAUUAGGCAGGGUUUUCCCCAGGAGCGGGGAGGAGUCUGCUUCUACGGACGUUGUGAGCGGCUCCGAAGAUUGUGUGUUUAAAGUCAACAAUUCAUUUUUAAGACUUUUUUCGAACUGUUUACAUUACAUGGACUUUAGAUUGAUUCUGACAGAAUGAACUGGAAAUGAAAUCCCACAGUUAUGAUCGUAGUAGAGUUUUUUUUUCCAAUUUAGGGCCCUUAUACUCCUUUUAAAAAUUUUUAAUAUGCUAAAUUUAGCAAAUACUAAAGUGUUAAGACUCAUCUGACAAUGUGAGAAUUUAAGCCUAUUUCAGGUUAAGAAAAAAAAGAUGUUUUCAAGUUAUGGAGGGGCUUUUUACUCUUAAGCGACAUAUGUAUUAGAAGUUGAAUCACGAACUGAUAAAAUGCUCCAGAUAAUUGUUGACUAAAAAAAAUACGGCAGGACAAAUUUUUUACAUUAAUACAUAUGUGCAGAAAAUGAGAAAUAUACAUGAACUCUUUACAGUUAUAGAUUAAUGGGAAGGGUUAUGUUAAAGGCUUGAACCUCCUAAAUAAUGUAUUAAUGUAAAUAAAGUUAUAUAUGUUUUAUGAAGAACAGGUGUUACAAUUUUUAGACCUAGUUUUAUGAUUCUUAUUCUCUUCAAAAGUUCUUUUUCUAUUUCAAAACUAAGAGCAAUAUGUAAAGCUUUGUAUAAUAUGGAAUAUGGUAUGUAUUUCAAGGUUACUUUAAAAAGCAAGCUUUGGCUGGUCCCAAGGUAGUGAAUUGUCUCAAUUGGUUAUUCACAGUUGGUUGCCCGUUGUACCACUCUUUCCCCACUUCCACUUGACUAGUCUUUUAAAAAUAAAUAAAUAUUUAAAUAAACAAGUCUUCUCAAACAUUAUAAAAGACCGUUUUUCUUAAUAUUUUUUAAAUGGACUAACAUGAAUCCACAUCCAGACUCAUAUUAAUUGUAUACAUUUAUUCAAAGCAACAUUCACUUCAUUCAUUGUAAUUUUUAGUACCUGUUGAUGAGCAGUGUUGUAUAUCAAACAAAAAACAUUGGUUUUAUCUUGUAGAUUACAUGUAAUUUUAAUGUAAAGAAUGACAGUACUACCCUGCCACAAAAGGAUUUUGGCUUUGAGUUAUUUUUCCGGUAAUAAACAUAUUGUCACCUGGCCACCAGUGACCAAGAGCUUGAAAUUCUGAUAUAGUUCUUCAGGCAUUUUGAAAAUAAAUACAUUUAUUAUAUGUUAAUCACCACAGCCUCCACCCCCAUAAAAAGAGGGAAGAGUUACUGAAGUUAAUUACUUAUCUAGGAUCAAGGUGAUGGGAAAUGAAAAUGGACUUAAAAAUUUUUAUUUUGCUGGGCACGGUGGCUCACGCCUGUAAUCCCAGCACUUUGGGGGCCGAGACGGGCGGAUCAUGAGGUCUGGAGUUCAAGACCAGCCUGACCAACAUGGUGAAACCCCGUCUCUACUAAAAAUUCAAAAAAUUAGCCAGGUGUGGUGGCGCUCGCCUAUAAUCCCAGCUACUCAGGAGGCUGAGGUAGAAGAAUCACUUGAACCAGAGAGGCGGAGGUUGCAGUGAGCUGAGAUCAUGCCAUUGCACUCCAGCCUGGGCGACAGAGCGAGAUUCCAUCUGAAAAAAAAAAAAAUUUUAUUUCAGCUCUAAAGCUUGUUUUCAUUCAAAAACUGUUAAAUUCAAAUAUUUGCUACUUCUUAUCUCGUAUCCUACUACAUAGUAGGCACUAUAUAAAUUUAUGUAUUAUUUUUGCUAAUAGUGCCAGAAUCAACCAAAAACGUUUAAAUCCAUAAUUGUGUCAGACCUGCCUUUUUCUCAGACAUAUAUCUUACCUUAUGUUUUAUAAAAUCCUCAUUGUCUUCUAUCUGAAGUUAUGUUUAAACAUGGACUAAUUAGGAAUGAAUGACACUAGAGUCAAGUGGUACAAAUAAAUGACUUAAAUUCUAGGACCACUGAACUAACAGUAUC